GGGUUAGUAGGUUGGUCAUGCCUCUGGUAUGUACUGGUCUCACUGAUUCCUCCUUCCUGAUGAGCCGUAAUGCCAUUAAUUUGGUGUUGCGGGGAAUUUGGACUGUUACUUUGAAAAAAUUAGAGUGUUUAAAGCAAGCUAACGCUUGAAUACAUUAGCAUGGAAUAAUGAAAUAGGACUUUGGUUCUAGGAUUGACGUA
This 200-nucleotide ribosomal RNA is filed under the name Campeiostachys nutans. Its description in RNAcentral is "Elymus nutans partial small subunit ribosomal RNA". The stretch from base 40 to 200 matches the Rfam family "Eukaryotic small subunit ribosomal RNA", at positions 686 to 849 of the family's 1831-position model. The record is from RNAcentral. Lineage: Eukaryota; Viridiplantae; Streptophyta; Magnoliopsida; Poales; Poaceae.